Molecule: ribosomal RNA, 245 nt
Filed under: uncultured Prevotellaceae bacterium
Lineage: Bacteria; Pseudomonadati; Bacteroidota; Bacteroidia; Bacteroidales; Prevotellaceae
Description: partial 16S ribosomal RNA
Rfam family: Bacterial small subunit ribosomal RNA
Source: RNAcentral
UACGGAAGGUCCUGGCGUUAUCCGGAUUUAUUGGGUUUAAAGGGAGCGCAGGCCGGUGUGUAAGCGUGACGUCAAAUACAGCCGCUCAACGGUUGUCCGCGUCGCGAACUGCACGCCUUGAGUACGCUGCAAGUGGGCGGAAUUCGUGGUGUAGCGGUGAAAUGCUUAGAUAUCACGAAGAACUCCGAUUGCGAAGGCAGCCCGCUGUCGCGUGACUGACGCUGAGGCUCGAAGGUGCGGGUAUC